UGACGUUGCAUUGGUUUCUUUGAUGAGAUGAUGUGGUCGGCUCCUUAUGCUUGACUUCAUCCUGGUUGGCGUGCUUCCAUUGGUUGGAGUGGUGGUGAGGUGGCCAGCUGAUGUUGAUGUGGAUGCCGAGGUGGUGCUCCAAGGGUGUGCAAAGGUGGUGGUAGAAACAUGCAACAUGUCCUGACUUGGCUUGCUUUCUGACUUAUUGAGGCUUGCUUUCUGACUUAUUGAAUUUAUUUACAGGACUCGAUCAAAGCCACAGUGACCUUGAGUUAAUUGAUUGGAGUCUUUUCUGGAUUCUGGUGCCCGCACCAAGAACCAA
This 322-nucleotide long non-coding RNA is filed under the name Phoenix dactylifera (date palm). RNAcentral's name for it is "long non-coding RNA (PDAC_LNC003859)". The record is from RNAcentral. Lineage: Eukaryota; Viridiplantae; Streptophyta; Magnoliopsida; Arecales; Arecaceae.